GACGAACGCUGGCGGCGCGCCUAACACAUGCAAGUCGAACGAGCAAAGAGGAGCUUGCUUCUCUGAGCGAGUGGCGAACGGGUGAGUAACGCGUGAGGAACCUGCCUCAAAGAGGGGGACAACAGUUGGAAACGACUGCUAAUACCGCAUAAGCCCACGGGUCGGCAUCGACCAGAGGGAAAAGGAGCAAUCCGCUUUGAGGUGGCCUCGCGUCCGAUUAGCUAGUUGGUGAGGUAAUGGCCCACCAAGGCGACGAUCGGUAGCCGGACUGAGAGGUUGAACGGCCACAUUGGGACUGAGACACGGCCCAGACUCCUACGGGAGGCAGCAGUGGGGAAUAUUGCACAAUGGGGGAAACCCUGAUGCAGCGACGCCGCGUGGAGGAAGAAGGUCUUCGGAUUGUAAACUCCUGUUGUUGAGGAAGAUAAUGACGGUACUCAACAAGGAAGUGACGGCUAACUACGUGCCAGCAGCCGCGGUAAAACGUAGGUCACAAGCGUUGUCCGGAAUUACUGGGUGUAAAGGGAGCGCAGGCGGGAAGACAAGUUGGAAGCGAAAUCCAUGGGCUCAACCCAUGAACUGCUUUCAAAACUGUUUUUCUUGAGUAGUGCAGAGGUAGACGGAAUUCCCGGUGUAGCGGUGGAAUGCGUAGAUAUCGGGAGGAACACCAGUGGCGAAGGCGGCCUACUGGGCACCAACUGACGCUGAGGCUCGAAAGUGUGGGUAGCAAACAGGAUUAGAUACCCUGGUAGUCCACACCGUAAACGAUGAUUACUAGGUGUUGGAGGAUUGACCCCUUCAGUGCCGCAGUUAACACAAUAAGUAAUCCACCUGGGGAGUACGACCGCAAGGUUGAAACUCAAAGGAAUUGACGGGGGCCCGCACAAGCAGUGGAGUAUGUGGUUUAAUUCGACGCAACGCGAAGAACCUUACCAAGUCUUGACAUCCUGCGACGGACAUAGAAAUAUGUCUUUCCUUCGGGACGCAGAGACAGGUGGUGCAUGGUUGUCGUCAGCUCGUGUCGUGAGAUGUUGGGUUAAGUCCCGCAACGAGCGCAACCCUUAUGGUCAGUUACUACGCAAGAGGACUCUGGCCAGACUGCCGUUGACAAAACGGAGGAAGGUGGGGAUGACGUCAAAUCAUCAUGCCCUUUAUGACUUGGGCUACACACGUACUACAAUGGCGUUAAACAAAGAGAAGCAAGACCGCGAGGUGGAGCAAAACUCAGAAACAACGUCCCAGUUCGGACUGCAGGCUGCAACUCGCCUGCACGAAGUCGGAAUUGCUAGUAAUCGUGGAUCAGCAUGCCACGGUGAAUACGUUCCCGGGCCU
This 1332-nucleotide ribosomal RNA is filed under the name uncultured bacterium. RNAcentral's name for it is "bacterial SSU rRNA". It matches the Rfam family "Bacterial small subunit ribosomal RNA", at positions 28 to 1381 of the family's 1533-position model. The record is from RNAcentral.